Molecule: ribosomal RNA, 243 nt
Filed under: uncultured bacterium
Lineage: Bacteria
Description: partial 16S ribosomal RNA
Rfam family: Bacterial small subunit ribosomal RNA
Source: RNAcentral
GCAAGUCGAACGCGAAAGCUCUUCGGAGUGAGUAGAGUGGCGGACGGGUGAGUAACGCGUUGGAAUCUACCUAGUCGUGGGGGACAACUCGAGGAAACUCGAGCUAAUACCGCAUACGCUCUACGGGGGAAAGCGGGGGAUCUUCGGACCUCGCGCUAUUGGAUUGGCCUGCGGCUGAUUAGCUAGUUGGUAGGGUAAUGGCCUACCAAGGCGACGAUCCGUAGCUGGUCUGAGAGGACGACC